AACGAACGCUGGCGGCAGGCCUAAUACAUGCAAGUCGAACGCACCGCAAGGUGAGUGGCAGACGGGUGAGUAACGCGUGGGAACCUUCCUAGUAGUACGGAAUAACUCCGGGAAACCGGUGCUAAUACCGUAUAAGCCCUCCGGGGGAAGAUUUAUCGCUACUAGAUGGGCCCGCGUCGGAUUAGCUUGUUGGUGAGGUAAUGGCUCACCAAGGCUACGAUCCGUAACGGCCUGAGAGGCGUCGGUCACACUGACACUGACAUACGGGUCAGACUCCUACGGAGCAGCAGUCGGAAUUUCGGGCAAUGGGCGAAAGCCUGACCCAGCAACGCCGCGUGAAGGAUGAAAUCCUCGGGAUGU
RNAcentral lists this ribosomal RNA (360 nucleotides) under uncultured bacterium. Its description in RNAcentral is "bacterial SSU rRNA". It matches the Rfam family "Bacterial small subunit ribosomal RNA", at positions 29 to 426 of the family's 1533-position model. The record is from RNAcentral.